GAUGAUCUGGUCCAACGACUGACUCUUCAGGAACUCCAGGAACAGAUGGCGAUUGGUGCAGGUGCCGCGCCAGAUAUAAAACGAUUGGGGAUAGGUCAUUAUGAAUGGUGGUCUAAUUGUGCUCGAGGUAAUACUGGUAAUGAUGCUACAGCGUUCCCUGCAAGUAUUGGUCUAGCGGCUACUUGGGAUGAUAAUUUGAUGUUGAGGGUAGCCAGAGCUUCUGGUACUGAACUCCGAGCCGCCAACAACGACUGGGUGAAAAAGGGAGUUUAUGGAAUUCAUAAAGGUUUGAGUUGUUUUUCACCAACUCUAGAUAUAUUCAGAGAUCCUAGAUGGGGUAGAAAUCCAGAAACUUGGGGAGAAGAUCCAUAUUUUGCAUCUGUCUAUGCCCAUAAUUUUGUAAAUGGUAUUCAAGGCGAUGAUAAUAAAUAUCUCUUGGCUAAUGCCGGCUGUAAACAUUACCCGGCCGGAAGUGGUCCGGACAA
Patella vulgata (common limpet) is the source of this 485-nucleotide long non-coding RNA. RefSeq lists it as uncharacterized. The transcript is spliced from 3 exons. NCBI's taxonomy places the organism in Eukaryota, Metazoa, Mollusca, Gastropoda, Patellidae. The record is from RefSeq and is a predicted model, not a curated record.